This 468-nucleotide ribosomal RNA is filed under the name uncultured bacterium. RNAcentral describes it as "partial 16S ribosomal RNA". It matches the Rfam family "Bacterial small subunit ribosomal RNA", at positions 28 to 523 of the family's 1533-position model. The record is from RNAcentral.
GAUGAACGCUGGCGGCGUGCCUAACACAUGCAAGUCGAGCGAUUCUCUUCGGAGAAGAGCGGCGGACGGGUGAGUAACGCGUGGGUAACCUGCCCUGUACACACGGAUAACAUACCGAAAGGUAUGCUAAUACGAGAUAAUAUGCUUUUAUCGCAUGGUAGAAGUAUCAAAGCUCCGGCGGUACAGGAUGGACCCGCGUCUGAUUAGCUAGUUGGUAAGGGAACGGCUUACCAAGGCGACGAUCAGUAGCCGAACUGAGAGGGUGAUCGGCCACAUUGGAACUCAUACACGGUCCAAACUCCUACGGGAGGCAGCAGUGGGGAAUAUUGAACAAUGGGCGAAAGCCUGAUGCAGCAACGCCGCGUGAGCGAUGAAGGCCGUCGGGUCGUAAAGCUCUGUCCUCAAGGAAGAUAAUGACGGUACUUGAGGAGGAAGCCCCGGCUAACUACGUGCCAGCCGCCGCAGUAA